Coccinella septempunctata (seven-spotted ladybird) is the source of this 407-nucleotide long non-coding RNA. RefSeq lists it as uncharacterized. NCBI's taxonomy places the organism in Eukaryota, Metazoa, Arthropoda, Insecta, Coleoptera, Coccinellidae. The transcript is spliced from 3 exons. The record is from RefSeq and is a predicted model, not a curated record.
CUGAUAUCCUAGAGCAGAGGGAUAACAGGGUGUACGGUGGAAUUUCGGAGGAAACGGUGUUCUGGGAUACCACUUAUCUACCCAAUGACGGUCAGACGGCCCUGUUUGGUGGUAAUAAAAACUGCACAGAACAAACAAAACUGUACGGAACAGAAUCUUCCAACACUGGCCGACCUGGUUAGAUCUAUCGGUUAUGGUGGAAUCGCGGAUAUAUAGGUCAUAAACAACGAGUGAAAUCACUUUCACAACGGUAUACGGAUCAGAGAACUUGGGAGCCAAUUUGGCUGCAAAGCUAUCAACGGCGGAUGACAACGGAUUAGCACGGCGCAGAACUCUAUCGCCGACAUGGAAACGAACUUCUCUUCGACGGAGGUUGUAAUGGUGAGCUUGCUGCUCAAAUGCACGGU